This 920-nucleotide ribosomal RNA is filed under the name uncultured archaeon. RNAcentral describes it as "bacterial SSU rRNA". It matches the Rfam family "Archaeal small subunit ribosomal RNA", at positions 1 to 928 of the family's 1478-position model. The record is from RNAcentral.
UUCCGGUUGAUCCUGCCGGACCUGACUGCUAUCGGAUUGAUACUAAGCCAUGCGAGUCUUUGUAGCAAUACAAGGCAGACGGCUCAGUAACACGUAGUCAAUCUAACCUAUGGACGGGGAUAACCUCGGGAAACUGAGAAUAAUACCCGAUAGGUCAUUAUGCCUGGAAUGGCUUAUGGCUCAAAUGAUUUAUCGCCAUAGGAUGGGACUGCGGUCUAUCAGCUUGUUGGUGAGGUAAUGGCCCACCAAGGCUAUAACAGAUACGGGCUCUGAGAGGAGAGGCCCGGAGAUGGGUACUGAGACACGGACCCAGGCCCUAUGGGGCGCAGCAGGCGAGAAAACUUUGCAAUGUGCGAAAGCACGACAAGGUUAAUCCGAGUGGUUUCUGCUAAAGAGAUCUUUUGUCAGUCCUAAAAACACUGAUGAAUAAGGGGUGGGCAAGUUCUGGUGUCAGCCGCCGCGGUAAAACCAGCACCUCAAGUGGUCAGGAGGAUUAUUGGGCCUAAAGCAUCCGUAGCCGGCUGUGUAAGUUUUCGGUUAAAUCUACAUGCUCAACAUGUAGGCUGCCGAAAAUACUGUACAGCUAGGGAGUGGGAGAGGUAGACGGUACUCCGUAGGAAGGGGUAAAAUCCUUUGAUCUAUGGAUGACCACCUGUGGCGAAGGCGGUCUACUAGAACACGUCCGACGGUGAGGGAUGAAAGCUGGGGGAGCAAACCGGAUUAGAUACCCGGGUAGUCCCAGCUGUAAACCAUGCAAACUCAGUGAUGCACUGGCUUGUGGCCAGUGCAGUGCUGCAGGGAAGCCGUUAAGUUUGCCGCCUGGGAAGUACGUACGCAAGUAUGAAACUUAAAGGAAUUGGCGGGGGAGCACCACAAGGGGUGAAGCCUGCGGUUCAAUUGGAGUCAACGCCGGGAAUCCC